RNAcentral lists this ribosomal RNA (515 nucleotides) under uncultured archaeon. Its description in RNAcentral is "bacterial SSU rRNA". It matches the Rfam family "Archaeal small subunit ribosomal RNA", at positions 93 to 593 of the family's 1478-position model. The record is from RNAcentral.
GUAACACGUGGCUAAUCUGCCCUUAGGACAAGAACAACCCCGGGAAACUGGGGCUAAUUCUUGAUCGGUGAAGAACACUGGAAUGUGUCUUCACUUAAAAGGCUUCACGUUAUCCUCGUGAGGUUGCCUAAGGAUGAGGCCGCGACCGAUCAGGUUGUUGGUGAGGUAAUGGCUCACCAAGCCUUUUACCGGUGCGGGCCGUGAGAGCGGGAGCCCGGAGAUGGGCACUGAGACAAGGGCCCAGGCCCUACGGGGCGCAGCAGUCGCGAAAACUUUGCAAUAAGCGAAAGCUUGACAGGGCUAUCCCGAGUGCCAUCCGCUGAGGAAGGCUUUUACCCAGUCUAGAACGCUGGGGGAAUAAGGAGAGGGCAAGUCUGGUGUCAGCCGCCGCGGUAAUACCAGCUCUUCGAGUGGUGUGGAUGUUUAUUGGGCCUAAAGCAUCCGUAGCUGGCUAAGUUAGUCCCUUGUUAAAUCCAGUGAAUUAAUCGUUGGAUAGCGGGGGAUACUGCUUGGCU